Molecule: long non-coding RNA, 1941 nt
Organism: Mustela putorius furo (domestic ferret)
Lineage: Eukaryota; Metazoa; Chordata; Mammalia; Carnivora; Mustelidae
Source: Ensembl
NNNNNNNNNNNNNNNNNNNNNNNNNNNNNNNNNNNNNNNNGCUCCCGCGCCCCGCGCGCUGCGCAAGGCGAGCCAGCUGCGGACGGCUUUCAUUCUGCGAGGGGGCGGGCGAAGCGCCGCCUCGGGCCCCGGCGCUAAUUGGCUGCUGACCAGAGCCCCCUGCGCCACCGGCGCCGCUCGGGACGCCGAUUGGUGAAUCUGGGGGAGGGGGCGUGCCCUGCCUGCGCUGCUGGGAGGGGAGGGCGAAGUAGGGGGAGACAAGGGGAAGGGAGGGGAGGGGCUGCUGCUGGGGCCCGCCUUCUCCUGAGCGCUGUGCUUUGAGUUUGGAGCAGGUGACCAGGCCUGAGUCUCCCCGGCCGGGUGGCGAGACUCCCCGAGGACACCGAUGAAGAAAAUGAGACCCAGAGAAGAGAAGGAUUUCUUCAGGGUCACAUGGUGAAUAUGUCACAGCCAGAACUAGAACUCAGGGCCCUUCACAAACGGCUUGCUGGCCUUCCUGUUACACAUGGACCCCGAAGGCAUUCCGGUCUGGUCUUCUUCCAGAAGAAGGAUCCUCGUAUCUUGAAUGUUCUUUCUCCAUCUACCCCACCAUGUCCCACCACCAUAUAUCCGAAUGGUGUGCGAUCAUCAAGGUCCACCUUUGUCACCGCUGCGAUUCCCGUGGAUCCUGCCUUCCUCGGGACUUCUCUAGAGCAGAAGUCCAGAGGCAGGCGUUCCAGGGCUGGUGUGCUGUCCCAGAGUAAUCAGAGACCCAGACUCCUUCUGCCUUCUUGCUCCACGAUUGUUAGUAGCUUUCAUCCCUAAGUUUGCCUCUGCUUCAAAAGGAUUGUUGGAGCUCCAGCCAUCACACCUGCAUUCCAGGCAAGGAAAAGAGGAAGAGAGAAGAGCAAAAACGUGCAUCCCAGCUUUCUAUUCUCCAAGAUAUUGUACCCAGUAACCUCUGCUCACAUUUCAUUGACCAGAAUUUCACUACUUGGGUGCAGGGGACUCUGGGAAAUGUGGUUUUUCGAGCUGGGUGCAUGGCCACCUGGACUUAAACAAGAGUUCUGUUUCUAAGGAAGAACAGGAGAAUGAAGUUUGGUGGGCACCUAGCAAUUUCUGCCUCACUUAGCGCAGCAGUCAAGGCCUUGAAUGAAUUUUCACACCAGCGAGCUCAUUCUGUUCCUUCUUCCUGCUCAGCAGGCAUGUCUUGCAGAUGGGUCAGCAGGGCAAGUCCAUUAUUUGGCCGUUAGGUUUGGCUGCCCUGACUGACAUGCACCUCCUGAACAAGCCCGAGCUUUCUGCCUUCCGGUGCAGCACUUCUGCUGCUUCCAAGGUAGCAUCUGGAAACCCACGUAAAGGGCAGAGCCGCUAAUGACUCUCACUCUGUUCCCCAGCGAGCAGAACAGUCUCCAUCCCACUGCCCUGGAACUGCCCACUGAGAAGACCCUGAGUUUGCACACGCUUGCCCGUGCAUACACACACCCCUCAAAGAAAGAAACCUCUUCUAGUGUUAGUACCUUCUCACCUGGAGCAGGAUACACAGGUAAGCGGCUUCCCAUCACAGGGGCCGAUCUCCGUAGGACCUGAGCCCAGAGGAGGGGUGCAGGUGGCCUGCUGUCCAAUCCCGGCAGGCCCCCACAGGCCCCUGCGUCACCCUGCCAGCUGCACAACCUCACAAAUCAAAUAUCACGUCUAAUUCUUAAAGCUGUUUUCAUGACAGCGGUUUUCCAUUUAAUCCCCAGAGCUAACAAUAUGUAAUCAGUUUUCCUUAACAAAUGACCUCCUUUAACUUCAUUAGUUCAUAAUUAAUUUGCCAGCCUGUAACCAAGAUAAUGAACACUGCAGAUUAGGGACAGGAAUACUGAUUAAAAUCUGAGCUGUUUCCCUAAUUUUCCUCGCAAUUUAAUUCAUUGGUGGUGGCUGGUGAUUGGUGGGUUUGGUUGAAAAAAUCCACGUGGA